AGAGUAUUACUUGACAGACUUGCAGCAUGGUCAGAGGAGAAGAGGUGAGAGAACUGAAACAACUGAGAAGAAAAAGAAGGGGAUCUUGGGAGUUUAAAAAGGGAUGCCUCUGCAGACAGAACUUCCGGAUGCUCUGAUCUUCAGUGACCCAGCUGUUGAGAUCCCAAAGUGCAUGGAUUGUGCAACUACAGCCUGAGAUGAAAAUCAAAGUUACGAAUAAGUAUCAAUCCUGCAGAGAAAUCCACCACCCUGGAUCUCCAUGAACCUGAGUCAAACAGCGUUUCUCCUCUUCCAUAGCUAUCUGGAAUAGCACAGCAAAAGCCUGUAAGAUGACAUAACAUAACCCCUGGCGUUUGGGGCGAACAUUUUUUCUUCAGAUGGA
Molecule: long non-coding RNA, 382 nt
Organism: Malaclemys terrapin pileata
Lineage: Eukaryota; Metazoa; Chordata; Testudines; Emydidae
Exons: 4
Source: RefSeq, a predicted model, not a curated record